This 1532-nucleotide ribosomal RNA is filed under the name Streptococcus pneumoniae GA47388. Its description in RNAcentral is "bacterial SSU rRNA". It matches the Rfam family "Bacterial small subunit ribosomal RNA". Lineage: Bacteria; Bacillati; Bacillota; Bacilli; Lactobacillales; Streptococcaceae. The record is from RNAcentral.
GAGUUUGAUCCUGGCUCAGGACGAACGCUGGCGGCGUGCCUAAUACAUGCAAGUAGAACGCUGAAGGAGGAGCUUGCUUCUCUGGAUGAGUUGCGAACGGGUGAGUAACGCGUAGGUAACCUGCCUGGUAGCGGGGGAUAACUAUUGGAAACGAUAGCUAAUACCGCAUAAGAGUGGAUGUUGCAUGACAUUUGCUUAAAAGGUGCACUUGCAUCACUACCAGAUGGACCUGCGUUGUAUUAGCUAGUUGGUGGGGUAACGGCUCACCAAGGCGACGAUACAUAGCCGACCUGAGAGGGUGAUCGGCCACACUGGGACUGAGACACGGCCCAGACUCUACGGGAGGCAGCAGUAGGGAAUCUUCGGCAAUGGACGGAAGUCUGACCGAGCAACGCCGCGUGAGUGAAGAAGGUUUUCGGAUCGUAAAGCUCUGUUGUAAGAGAAGAAUGAGUGUGAGAGUGGAAAGUUCACACUGUGACGGUAUCUUACCAGAAAGGGACGGCUAACUACGUGCCAGCAGCCGCGGUAAUACGUAGGUCCCGAGCGUUGUCCGGAUUUAUUGGGCGUAAAGCGAGCGCAGGCGGUUAGAUAAGUCUGAAGUUAAAGGCUGUGGCUUAACCAUAGUAGGCUUUGGAAACUGUUUAACUUGAGUGCAAGAGGGGAGAGUGGAAUUCCAUGUGUAGCGGUGAAAUGCGUAGAUAUAUGGAGGAACACCGGUGGCGAAAGCGGCUCUCUGGCUUGUAACUGACGCUGAGGCUCGAAAGCGUGGGGAGCAAACAGGAUUAGAUACCCUGGUAGUCCACGCUGUAAACGAUGAGUGCUAGGUGUUAGACCCUUUCCGGGGUUUAGUGCCGUAGUCUAACGCAUUAAGCACUCCGCCUGGGGAGUACGACCGCAAGGUUGAAACUCAAAGGAAUUGACGGGGGCCCGCACAAGCGGUGGAGCAUGUGGUUUAAUUCGAAGCAACGCGAAGAACCUUACCAGGUCUUGACAUCCCUCUGACCGCUCUAGAGAUAGAGCUUUCCUUCGGGACAGAGGUGACAGGUGGUGCAUGGUUGUCGUCAGCUCGUGUCGUGAGAUGUUGGGUUAAGUCCCGCAACGAGCGCAACCCCUAUUGUUAGUUGCCAUCAUUUAGUUGGGCACUCUAGCGAGACUGCCGGUAAUAAACCGGAGGAAGGUGGGGAUGACGUCAAAUCAUCAUGCCCCUUAUGACCUGGGCUACACACGUGCUACAAUGGCUGGUACAACGAGUCGCAAGCCGGUGACGGCAAGCUAAUCUCUUAAAGCCAGUCUCAGUUCGGAUUGUAGGCUGCAACUCGCCUACAUGAAGUCGGAAUCGCUAGUAAUCGCGGAUCAGCACGCCGCGGUGAAUACGUUCCCGGGCCUUGUACACACCGCCCGUCACACCACGAGAGUUUGUAACACCCGAAGUCGGUGAGGUAACCGUAAGGAGCCAGCCGCCUAAGGUGGGAUAGAUGAUUGGGGUGAAGUCGUAACAAGGUAGCCGUAUCGGAAGGUGCGGCUGGAUCACC